CCGCGGUAUGGAUGGUCAGGCGGAAUACAACUUUGAAGUAUCGAUGAACAAAAACAAGGCGCACGUGGUAUAGAAACCCUUCAGUUAGUGACGCAUCUGACUCAUCAACAUCACCUGCCAGUUGUGUAUCAAAUAAAA
This is a long non-coding RNA of Aphidius gifuensis, 138 nucleotides long. RefSeq lists it as uncharacterized. NCBI's taxonomy places the organism in Eukaryota, Metazoa, Arthropoda, Insecta, Hymenoptera, Braconidae. The transcript has 2 exons. The record is from RefSeq and is a predicted model, not a curated record.